GUUGUCGUCAGCUCGUGUCGUGAGAUGUUGGGUUAAGUCCCGCAACGAGCGCAACCCCUAUUGUUAGUUGCCAUCAUUCAGUUGGGCACUCUAGCGAGACUGCCGGUAAUAAACCGGAGGAAGGUGGGAUGACGUCAAAUCAUCAUGCCCCUUAUGACCUGGGCUACACACGUGCUACAAUGGUUGGUACAACGAGUUGCGAGUCGGUGACGGCGAGCUAAUCUCUUAAAGCCAAUCUCAGUUCGGAUUGUAGGCUGCAACUCGCCUACAUGAAGUCGGAAUCGCUAGUAAUCGCGGAUCAGCACGCCGCGGUGAAUACGUUCCCGGGCCUU
Molecule: ribosomal RNA, 332 nt
Filed under: uncultured Streptococcus sp.
Lineage: Bacteria; Bacillati; Bacillota; Bacilli; Lactobacillales; Streptococcaceae
Description: bacterial SSU rRNA
Rfam family: Bacterial small subunit ribosomal RNA
Source: RNAcentral